Mus musculus (house mouse) is the source of this 817-nucleotide long non-coding RNA. RefSeq annotates it as predicted gene, 38551. The transcript is spliced from 3 exons. Lineage: Eukaryota; Metazoa; Chordata; Mammalia; Rodentia; Muridae. The record is from RefSeq and is a predicted model, not a curated record.
GUUGGUGAAAUGAUCAAAAUGCUUCUGAGGGAGGUGGUGUUACCUCUGAGGCUGUCGAGAGGCAACGGUCCCAGGUCCGCACCCAGCUGCCAGAACCUACAGCACAACUUCAUUUGAAAAACAGAGUCUACUUCAGAAAGCAUUUUCAGACAAAUGUUAGAGACAAAGAGGCCUCAAGUUGGCAAGCCAGCGUCAUCUCUGGUGACAUGUUCAAACAGCUACUUACAUAAACCACACUAAUCAGGCUCCUCUUCAAGAUCAAAAGGUUCAGCACUGUGAUCUGACAUUGAACCUGGCAGUGACCAGAUAGAGCACAGACCCCACCAUGGGGACCCUUUCUAUCGACCUGGCCACCUCCAAACAUCUCAUCUCUCAGUACCAUGUUCUUGCAAAUAUUAAGGACAAAGACAUUCAGCAACAUAUGGAUCUGGAAGGUCCUGCUCCUGUGUGAUCCUGUCAGACUGUGAUUGCUCCAGUGUCUCCCAUUGCUGGCCAGUUGUCAAGACAAUGAGCAUGCCUCAGAGGUGAUCCCCAACAUAGCCAUGGCACCCUCAGUACCUGAUACCUGACUGCCUUGUUCUGUGGCUGUCAGAAGAACGCUGUAGUUACAGAGUGUCUCUUACAUACUGUCAUGAAUGCCUCAGAGCUGGGCUUGCUCAUCCAGGCUCCAGAGAGUCCCUGUUGUUUUCUGUGAAACAUCUUCUGACAACCCAGACGUCCCAAGAAAUUCAAGUUUAUAUAUUACCUCAUUUGAGAAAUGUGCUCCAAUGCACAAGUUGUUAAAUUAUGGUAAGCCUUGUCCCCUGGGACUGAUGGU